GAAAACUCAACAGAUUCAAACCUAGUGUAGAUCGUUUGAACAACGAGCUAGGGCAACGUGGGAUAAGUCGUAAUAAGCGAGAAUACGGGAUACUGUGUUCUAACUUAGGUAUGGGUCGUAGUAAUAUGAUCGGAACUAAUGGUAAAAGCCAUUAUAUGCAAAGCGGUGCGUAGACAUUAUGCAGGGGUAAGGUGCAAGACUUUCGGGCGAGAUAAUAGACGCUCCAGUGGAGAAUAAUCUUAGUCAGGUGUGGUGUGAGAAGCCAGACAAACCUAAGAAAACUCAAAAUAAUCGCUACUGAUGAGAAACCUAGAAAUAGGUGAAUGACGAAAGAAAUUGGCACGAGUAGCUUAACUUGUCAGGCAUUACAUUAAAAUUCCAAGCUAUGGAAAACAGAUAAUGCUGAAUGUUCAAGUGAAAGUUGUUGGCUGUUAUGCCAGACCACGCAAGAUAAGCAAGAAGAAGCAUUACUGUAGCUCGGUAGUGUUCAGCCUUCUUGGGCGUGUAACCUAAUAACCUUGAAAAUAAUUGAAGCAGGAAGAAAAGCCUGAAUCUAUUGAGUU
Molecule: small RNA, 563 nt
Filed under: Enterococcus raffinosus
Lineage: Bacteria; Bacillati; Bacillota; Bacilli; Lactobacillales; Enterococcaceae
Description: ROOL RNA
Rfam family: ROOL RNA
About the family: Firmicutes, Fusobacteria (1 example), Tenericutes (1 example). Environment (Cow rumen (57))
Source: RNAcentral